This 468-nucleotide ribosomal RNA is filed under the name uncultured bacterium. RNAcentral describes it as "partial 16S ribosomal RNA". It matches the Rfam family "Bacterial small subunit ribosomal RNA", at positions 28 to 507 of the family's 1533-position model. The record is from RNAcentral.
GACGAACGCUGGCGGCGUGCUUAACACAUGCGAGUCGAACGGAAAGGCCCUGCUUUUGUGGGGUGCUCGAGUGGCGAACGGGUGAGUAACACGUGAGUAACCUGCCCCUGACUUUGGGAUAACUUCAGGAAACUGGGGCUAAUACCGGAUAGGAGCUCCUGCUGCAUGGUGGGGGUUGGAAAGUUUCGGCGGUUGGGGAUGGACUCGCGGCUUAUCAGCUUGUUGGUGGGGUAGUGGCUUACCAAGGCUUUGACGGGUAGCCGGCCUGAGAGGGUGACCGGCCACAUUGGGACUGAGAUACGGCCCAGACUCCUACGGGAGGCAGCAGUGGGGAAUAUUGCACAAUGGGCGGAAGCCUGAUGCAGCAACGCCGCGUGCGGGAUGACGGCCUUCGGGUUGUAAACCGCUUUCGCCUGUGACGAAGCGUGAGUGACGGUAAUGGGUAAAGAAGCACCAGCUAACUACGUG